RNAcentral lists this long non-coding RNA (806 nucleotides) under Mytilus galloprovincialis (Mediterranean mussel). The record is from RNAcentral. Lineage: Eukaryota; Metazoa; Mollusca; Bivalvia; Mytilida; Mytilidae.
GGGGCAGAUAAUAACGUUUUCAAAACUGUCCGUGUUGUUUUCGCGACGUUGGUAACCAGAACGUUGUAAUUUCGCGAUGUUUCUAAUAAGAACGUUAACAUUUCGCGACGUCGCUUUAGAAUAAGUCAUAUUUCGCGGAAUAUUCUCUGACGUCAUUAAUUUCGGUUGCGCGAAUUUCAAAAAAGUACCUGCUAAAAAAGUGGCCAUGCCGUUUCUAAAAAACCAAGAAACCCACCGAAGAGCAAUUAGAUUAAAGGAAACACUUGAGAUGUACAAAAAUAAAUCAAAUACAAUUUUGCAUGACGAAAUUGAUGAAAUGGUGUUAGACACGGAAGAGAGUACUGACAUGGAAAGACGGAAGAAGAAUUGUGGAGCUUUUUAGUCUGGCACUGAAUAACUGCCAAAACUGCACGGCCCAAUAACACAAUUCGGAACAUAACAACCUGCAAUAGCUAAUUAUGAGUAUUGGUAGCUACUUAACGUCCAGCGGCAAAUAUUUAAUUACACAUUUAUGACAUCCAAAUGUCAUUUUAAUGAAACUUAUAGAAAUGAGAAAACGUAUGAACCCGUGAUUAAUGAGUAAAUAUUUAACAAAAUCUAUUGUUAUAGGGUGGCCGAAUCGGGUCUGGUGUUGAAAUCCAUACACAAAAGUCAUUACUACGGAGUGUUGUACAGCUGUGCAAUAUUUUUCAUGACGAGAACAGUUAUUUUCAUUUAUUGAUAAUGAAUUCGAAGUAAAUAAUACUAUCUUGAACUGAAAAAUAUCAGAAUCAAAAUAGUUAAGUUUGUGUCUUUUUUUCUUUUCU